This 207-nucleotide ribosomal RNA is filed under the name Triticum aestivum (bread wheat). Its description in RNAcentral is "partial small subunit ribosomal RNA". Lineage: Eukaryota; Viridiplantae; Streptophyta; Magnoliopsida; Poales; Poaceae. The record is from RNAcentral.
AUGAAGAAGAUCUUGUUCAGCAUGUUCUAUUCGAUACUGGUAGGAGAAGAACCCGACUCGGUAUUCUUAAAAAAAGAGGGGAAGCAGAACCAAGUCAAGAUGAUAUGGGUCGCCCCUUCUUCUUGCGCCAAAGAUCUUACCAUUUCCGAAGGAACUGGGGCUACAUUUCUUUUCAAUUUCCAUUCAAGAGUUUGUAUCUGUUUCUAG